GUUUGAUAGAAGUUUCUAUUAUGUUUAUAAUUGUACUUUAUAGGAUUUAUGUUUUAAUUUUCUAAUAGUUGGGUUUCUUUAUUAGUAGAAAGAGUACUUAAAGAUUAAUUUUGUGCCAGCAUUCGCGGUCAUACUUUAUUUAUUAUAUUUAUUUUAGGUAUAAGGAUUUUUUAAAAAAACUUUCUUUUUGAUGGGUGAAAUUUUUAAUAAUUUGUUUUUAUCUGACUAUCUGUAAUUUAGUAUAAAACUAGGAUUAGAGACCCUUUUAUUUUUAUAUUAUAUUAAGGUAGUAGUAUAUUGUGUAAAAACUUAAUUUUUCUGGCGGUUUAUUGCGUUCUCAGAGGAGCUUGUUAUUUAAAAGAUAGCCCGCUUUUAUCUUUACCUCUUUUUUAUUUAUGUAUGGCUGUUUAGUUAUGGAGUUUAUUCUAUUAUGAAAAAAAAAUUUUUUUUUAUUUCAGGUCUACUUGUAGAUUAUAGGGUGGAUUUUUAUGAGCUACUUUUAUUUAGUCUUUUUUUUUUUUGGUAAAAUUGGAUUUGAAAGUAAAUUAGUAAUAUAACUUCUUGUUGAAUAGAUAUUGCAAUAAAAGUACAUAUCGCCCGUCACUCUUUUGAUAGAUAAGUCGUAACAAAGUAGGUCUACUGGAAGGUGGACCUUGAUUGGG
This 662-nucleotide non-coding RNA is filed under the name Histiostoma blomquisti. Lineage: Eukaryota; Metazoa; Arthropoda; Arachnida; Sarcoptiformes; Histiostomatidae. The record is from RNAcentral.